RNAcentral lists this ribosomal RNA (335 nucleotides) under uncultured Thauera sp. RNAcentral describes it as "bacterial SSU rRNA". It matches the Rfam family "Bacterial small subunit ribosomal RNA", at positions 1047 to 1382 of the family's 1533-position model. The record is from RNAcentral. Lineage: Bacteria; Pseudomonadati; Pseudomonadota; Betaproteobacteria; Rhodocyclales; Zoogloeaceae.
GUGCUGUCGUCAGCUCGUGUCGUGAGAUGUUGGGUUAAGUCCCGCAACGAGCGCAACCCUUGUCAUUAGUUGCCAUCAUUUAGUUGGGCACUCUAAUGAGACUGCCGGUGACAAACCGGAGGAAGGUGGGGAUGACGUCAAGUCCUCAUGGCCCUUAUGGGUAGGGCUUCACACGUCAUACAAUGGUCGGUACAGAGGGUUGCCAAGCCGCGAGGUGGAGCCAAUCCCUUAAAGCCGAUCGUAGUCCGGAUCGUAGUCUGCAACUCGACUACGUGAAGUCGGAAUCGCUAGUAAUCGCAGAUCAGCAUGCUGCGGUGAAUACGUUCCCGGGCCUU